UGGAGAGCAAAGCCUCCCUUCAGGUGGGAAGGAAACUCUGCAUUUCGUGAGCUGCCUGGACAAUGUGUGCCCACAGCUGUGUGGGAAGCUGGCAGGAGGGAAUAACAUUCCCAAGCAGCUGCAUCUCUGCUCUGAAGGAAUGACUGUCUGCAGGUUCAGACACUUCUUAGUUUGACCCUUCAGCUACUUUAAUAAAGCCUUCAGAGAAAAGCUGAG
Molecule: long non-coding RNA, 216 nt
Organism: Empidonax traillii (willow flycatcher)
Lineage: Eukaryota; Metazoa; Chordata; Aves; Passeriformes; Tyrannidae
Exons: 3
Source: RefSeq, a predicted model, not a curated record